RNAcentral lists this ribosomal RNA (250 nucleotides) under uncultured bacterium. RNAcentral describes it as "partial 16S ribosomal RNA". It matches the Rfam family "Bacterial small subunit ribosomal RNA", at positions 524 to 776 of the family's 1533-position model. The record is from RNAcentral.
GACGGGGGGGCAAGUGUUCUUCGGAAUGACUGGGCGUAAAGGGCACGUAGGCGGUGAAUCGGGUUGAAAGUGAAAGUCGCCAAAAAGUGGCGGAAUGCUCUCGAAACCAAUUCACUUGAGUGAGACAGAGGAGAGUGGAAUUUCGUGUGUAGGGGUGAAAUCCGUAGAUCUACGAAGGAACGCCAAAAGCGAAGGCAGCUCUCUGGGUCCCUACCGAUGCUGGGGUGCGAAAGCAUGGGGAGCGAACAGG